This is a long non-coding RNA of Bubalus bubalis (water buffalo), 638 nucleotides long. RefSeq lists it as uncharacterized. NCBI's taxonomy places the organism in Eukaryota, Metazoa, Chordata, Mammalia, Artiodactyla, Bovidae. The record is from RefSeq and is a predicted model, not a curated record. The transcript has 2 exons.
AGUUUUGACUUGAGCUGAGGUCAGUACAGGCCGCAGGCGGGAAAUGUGCUCAAAUGCUGACUGCCUGGAAGGUCUUUUCCAUUUCGGAGUGUCGGCUGUGGGUCAGACCGUCUCAGGGAAUAAACUGUAAGUGGAGAAAUCAAAGUGUGAACCCCCAUUCCCUACCACAACCCGUGGGAUGUAUAUGAAGAGCCCCAGUGGGCAGCCAUAGCAACCAUUAGCUUAAAACCUGUUGAAACAGAAAAGUUGAAUUGAGAAGGAAAAGCACAUCCCGUUCCUGCCUCCAGGCAUCCUGUUCUUGGGUGAAGAGAAGCAAAAGAGUUGAAGAAAACCUGAAGGUAAACCUCAGGGCAUCAUCCCACCUGGAUAGAGAGAUGAACUGGCCGGGGUGCUGUCAAGUCUUGUCCCUGGACCGCUGCUUCUGCCCACAUAACCAGCCUUCUUGGCAGAUUCCAGGGCUCUCUCUGCCAAAAGCCCUGAAGAAAUGAAGUCAGAAAACGAUCGUCAAACUCUGUGAUUCAGAGGUCACCCGCACAUCAUACCAAAACCAGCUAAAGCCACCCCAGAUCCAUAUCCAGGUCUCCCUUCUUCAGACCCAAAGGAGCCUGCAGCUUUCUUCAUUCACUUAUUAUCCUUAA